CCUACGGGAGGCAGCAGUGGGGAAUAUUGGUCAAUGGGCGCAAGCCUGACCCAGCAACGCCGCGUGAAGGAAGAAGGCUCUCUGGUUGUAAACUUCUUUUCUCAGGGACGAAGCAAGUGACGGUACCUGAGGAAUAAGCCACGGCUAACUACGUGCCAGCAGCCGCGGUAAUACGUAGGUGGCAAGCGUUAUCCGGAUUUACUGGGUGUAAAGGGUGUGUAGGCGGGACGGCAAGUCAGAUGUGAAAACCACGGGCUCAACCUGUGGCCUGCAUUUGAAACUGUAGUUCUUGAGUACUGGUGAGGCAGACGGAAUGCCUAGUGUAGCGGUGAAAUGCGUAGAGAUUAGGAGGAACACCAGUGGCGAAGGCGGUCUGCUGGACAGCAACUGACGCUGAGGCGCGAAAGCGUGGGGAGCAAACAGGAUUAGAUACCCCAGUAGUC
Molecule: ribosomal RNA, 443 nt
Filed under: uncultured bacterium
Lineage: Bacteria
Description: partial 16S ribosomal RNA
Rfam family: Bacterial small subunit ribosomal RNA
Source: RNAcentral